UUUCCGUAGGUGAACCUGCGGAAGGAUCGUUACAGAGUUCAUGCACGAAAGGGUAGACCUCCCCCCUUUCUGUUUUGUUACUUUGUUGCCUUGUCGAGCGCAGGCUCUACAGAGAUUACCAAAACUCUUUUUAUUACUGUCUUCUGAGUACUAGAUAAUAGUGAAAACUUUCAACAACGGAUCUCUUGGUUCUG
Molecule: unclassified non-coding RNA, 194 nt
Filed under: plant metagenome
Description: partial contains small subunit ribosomal RNA, internal transcribed spacer 1, and 5.8S ribosomal RNA
Source: RNAcentral